This 486-nucleotide ribosomal RNA is filed under the name uncultured bacterium. Its description in RNAcentral is "partial 16S ribosomal RNA". It matches the Rfam family "Bacterial small subunit ribosomal RNA", at positions 28 to 507 of the family's 1533-position model. The record is from RNAcentral.
GACGAACGCUGGCGGCGUGCUUAACACAUGCAAGUCGAACGCUGAAGACCUGGCUUUUGUUGGGUUGGAUGAGUGGCGAACGGGUGAGUAACACGUGAGUAACCUGCCCUCUUCUUUGGGAUAACGCCCGGAAACGGGUGCUAAUACUGGAUAUUCACUGGCCUUCGCAUGGGGGUUGGUGGAAAGGUUUGUUCUGGUGGGGGAUGGGCUCGCGGCCUAUCAGCUUGUUGGUGGGGUGAUGGCCUACCAAGGCUUUGACGGGUAGCCGGCCUGGGAGGGUGACCGGUCACAUUGGGACUGGGAUACGGCCCAGACUCCUACGGGAGGCAGCAGUGGGGAAUAUUGCACAAUGGGCGAAAGCCUGAUGCAGCGACGCCGCGUGAGGGAUGGAGGCCUUCGGGGUGUAAACCUCUUUCGCUCAUGGUCAAGCCGCAACUGUGGGUUGUGGUGAGGGUAGUGGGUAAAGAAGCGCCGGCUAACUACGUG